UAAUUGAAGAGUUUGAUCAUGGCUCAGAUUGAACGCUGGCGGCAGGCCUAACACAUGCAAGUCGAGCGGUAACAGGAGAAAGCUUGCUUUCUUGCUGACGAGCGGCGGACGGGUGAGUAAUGUAUGGGGAUCUGCCCGAUAGAGGGGGAUAACUACUGGAAACGGUGGCUAAUACCGCAUAAUGUCUACGGACCAAAGCAGGGGCUCUUCGGACCUUGCGCUAUCGGAUGAACCCAUAUGGGAUUAGCUAGUAGGUGGGGUAAAGGCUCACCUAGGCGACGAUCUCUAGCUGGUCUGAGAGGAUGAUCAGCCACACUGGGACUGAGACACGGCCCAGACUCCUACGGGAGGCAGCAGUGGGGAAUAUUGCACAAUGGGCGCAAGCCUGAUGCAGCCAUGCCGCGUGUAUGAAGAAGGCCUUAGGGUUGUAAAGUACUUUCAGCGGGGAGGAAGGUGAUAAGGUUAAUACCCUU
RNAcentral lists this ribosomal RNA (473 nucleotides) under Proteus mirabilis. RNAcentral describes it as "bacterial SSU rRNA". It matches the Rfam family "Bacterial small subunit ribosomal RNA", at positions 1 to 470 of the family's 1533-position model. The record is from RNAcentral. Lineage: Bacteria; Pseudomonadati; Pseudomonadota; Gammaproteobacteria; Enterobacterales; Morganellaceae.